GUGCCAGCAGCCGCGGUAAUACGUAGGCAGCGAGCGUUGUUCGGAGUUACUGGGCGUAAAGGGUGUGUAGGCGGUUCUUUAAGUUUGGUGUGAAAUCUCCCGGCUCAACCGGGAGGGUGCGCCGAAUACUGAGGGACUCGAGUGCGGGAGAGGAAAGUGGAAUUCCUGGUGUAGCGGUGAAAUGCGUAGAUAUCAGGAGGAACACCGGUGGUGUAGACGGCUUUCUGGACCGUAACUGACGCUGAGACACGAAAGCGUGGGUAGCAAACAGGAUUAGAUACCCUGGUAGUCC
RNAcentral lists this ribosomal RNA (292 nucleotides) under uncultured bacterium. Its description in RNAcentral is "partial 16S ribosomal RNA". It matches the Rfam family "Bacterial small subunit ribosomal RNA", at positions 505 to 796 of the family's 1533-position model. The record is from RNAcentral.